RNAcentral lists this unclassified non-coding RNA (219 nucleotides) under Hevea brasiliensis (rubber tree). Lineage: Eukaryota; Viridiplantae; Streptophyta; Magnoliopsida; Malpighiales; Euphorbiaceae. The record is from RNAcentral.
AUUUCAAAUCCUCUAAAACGUCUUGUAAAUUAUUGGUUUGCACUAAAAUUAUUCCUUUGCAUAUUCAAACGCUCCCUUCCGAUUCCAAAAUCCUAAAUUUCUUCGGAAUUUCAAAUUUCAGUCACUUCAAAUAAAGCUAUCCAAUUGGGUAUUUGAAGAUUCAAGCCUUUCAAAUUCGCCUCUUUGUUGUUGGAAUCCGUCCUAAAAAAAAAAAAAAAA